GACGAACGCUGGCGGCGUGCUUAACACAUGCAAGUCGAACGGUGAAGCGCCUUCCUUUUUGGUGGGUGUGGAUGAGUGGCGAACGGGUGAGUAACACGUGCGUAACCUGCCCCCUUCUUCUGGAUAACCGCAUGAAAGUGUGGCUAAUACGGGAUAUUCUGGGUCUGUCGCAUGAUGGGUCUGGGAAAGAUAUUGUUUCGGUGGGGGAUGGGCUCGCGGCCUAUCAGCUUGUUGGUGGGGUGAGGGCCUACCAAGGCGGUGACGGGUAGCCGGCCUGAGAGGGUGGACGGUCACACUGGGACUGAGACACGGCCCAGACUCCUACGGGAGGCAGCAGUGGGGAAUAGUGCACAAUGGGCGCAAGCCUGAUGCAGCGACGCCGCGGGAGGGAUGGAGGCCUUCGGGUUGUGAACCUCUUUCGCCAGUGAAGCAGGCCUGCCUCGUUUGUGGGUGGGUUGACGGUAGCUGGAUAAGAAGCGCCGGCUAACUACGUG
This 494-nucleotide ribosomal RNA is filed under the name uncultured bacterium. RNAcentral describes it as "partial 16S ribosomal RNA". It matches the Rfam family "Bacterial small subunit ribosomal RNA", at positions 28 to 507 of the family's 1533-position model. The record is from RNAcentral.